GUGCUCGCUCCAGCAGCACAUAAACUAAAAUUGGAAUGAUACAGAGAAGAUCAGCAUGGCCCCUGCGCAAGGAUGACACACAAAUUUUGAAGUGUUCCAUAAUUUG
Dipodomys spectabilis (banner-tailed kangaroo rat) is the source of this 106-nucleotide small nuclear RNA. Lineage: Eukaryota; Metazoa; Chordata; Mammalia; Rodentia; Heteromyidae. The record is from RefSeq and is a predicted model, not a curated record.